GGUCGACGGUAUCGAUAAGCUUGCCAUGGGUACGGGGAGCAGCAGGCGCGAAACCUUUACACUGCACGCCAGUCGGAUAAGGGGACCCCGAGUGCGAGGKCAUACAGUCCUCGCUUUUCGUGACCGUAAGAWGGUCUCAGAACAAGUGCUGGGCAAGACCGGUGCCAGCYGCCGCGGUAAUACCGGCAGCACGAGUGAUGACCGCUGUUAUUGGGCCUAAAGCGUCCGUAGCUGGCCGCGCAAGUCUAUCGGGAAAUCUCUUCGCUUAACGGAGAGGCGUCCGGUGGAAACUGUGUGGCUUGGGACCGGAAGACCAGAGGGGUACGUCUGGGGUAGGAGUGAAAUCCCGUAAUCCUGGACGGACCACCGGUGGCGAAAGCKCCUCUGGAAGACGGAUCCGACGGUGAGGGACGAAAGCUCGGGUCACGAACCGGAUUAGAUACCCGGGUAGUCCGAGCUGUAAACGAUGUCUGCUAGGUGUGACACAGGCUACGAGCCUGUGUUGUGCCGUAGGAAGCCGUGAAGCAGACCGCCUGGKAAG
Molecule: ribosomal RNA, 541 nt
Filed under: unidentified archaeon S3-K14
Lineage: Archaea
Description: bacterial SSU rRNA
Rfam family: Archaeal small subunit ribosomal RNA
Source: RNAcentral